UUAAAAGAGCGCACAAUUCUAUCUGCUAGAAAUGAUGAUGUCAAUAAUAUCAACCUAGCUGCGUUGGCGGUUUUUUCGGGAGAAAUACAUACAUACUUCGCUGCUGACAAAAUGGUUGAAGAUGAUGAUGUGGAUCGGACUAUUAUGCAUCGGUACCCGAAUGAAUAUUUGAACACACUCAAUCCCCCUGGACUGCCAC
RNAcentral lists this long non-coding RNA (199 nucleotides) under Panax ginseng (ginseng). RNAcentral's name for it is "long non-coding RNA (PGIN_LNC010014)". The record is from RNAcentral. Lineage: Eukaryota; Viridiplantae; Streptophyta; Magnoliopsida; Apiales; Araliaceae.